Long non-coding RNA from Osmerus eperlanus (European smelt), 352 nucleotides. RefSeq lists it as uncharacterized. The transcript has 3 exons. The record is from RefSeq and is a predicted model, not a curated record. NCBI's taxonomy places the organism in Eukaryota, Metazoa, Chordata, Actinopteri, Osmeriformes, Osmeridae.
GGAUUGCCUGGGUUUCCAGGGGCUCGAGGUUUCAAAGGUCCAAAAGGGGACAUCUACAUAAUGGAUAUCAAAGGAAAGAAGGGAGCAAUGGGCCCCUGAGGGCCUCCUGGUCAACAGGGAGCCACAGGAAUGAGGGGACAAGAUGGUUUCUCAGGCGCACCUGGCGAUGAAGCCCCAGAGGGGGAUAGCUAUCCAGGGUUUCCUGGUGAGAGAGGCUAUCCAGGAUUCGAUGGGCCUAAAGGGUUCCCCGGGCCCGCUGGUUCCCCAGGUUUGGAUGUCAUAGGUGCUGUGUGACUCAGGGGGCCCCCGGGGGAUGCGGGACCCCCAGGAUUCAGGGGGCCUGUUGGCCCAA